UCGGUCAUAACACGUUAAAACACAGGUUCCGUACGAUCACCGAAGUUAAGCUACAACGUGACUAGUCAGUACCUACAUGAGUGACCUUUUGGGAAUAUCAAGUGCUGUAA
Non-coding RNA from Acanthosepion pharaonis, 110 nucleotides. The record is from the annotation of a GenBank genome assembly. NCBI's taxonomy places the organism in Eukaryota, Metazoa, Mollusca, Cephalopoda, Sepiida, Sepiidae.